GUCGUCCAGACCAAUGAAAUAGCUCCACUAUAAUCAAAUGAGGUACAAGAGAGUCUCAAACAAAGCACAAAAAUGUGCAUAUAACCAGCCAAAACAUCAAAGCACCAAAGCUCACAAAUAAGAAGCAAGAAGAUGAAAUAUACCCAAAAAAACAGAGCUGAUGUCGAAGCCAAUUUCUACCUCUGCAGACCUCCAAUUAAAAUCUCCACCGUUCAGAAUGAAGAACAAGAUGUGAAGAAUCUACAGUCCAAAUUUCACGUCGAUCCAACGGUGAAAGAAUGAGAAAAUGCCGUUCCAAGAUUGCUGCUCUGUGUAAAAACGGGAAACCUAAUUUCUCUCUUGCGAAGCCAAUUUCUCCUACUGCAAACCUCCAAUCAACAUCUCCACCAAUCAGAAUGAAGAACAAAAUGAUAGGAACACGUAGUUUAAAUUUCAAGCCGAUCCAACGGUGAACAACUGAGAAACUGCCAUUUGAAAUUUACUACUUUGGGCAAAAACGGGAAUUCUGUUUUCCCUCUUCUCUCUCACUUGGUGGCUAUUCUCUCUUUCUCUCAAAAGACCUCAAAAACUGAAUUAGGGUUGUGACACUAGGGUGCAAGAAUACACCCUCAAAAUAUUGGGCUUGGGCCUCACAAAGGAGAGAAAAAAACCCAACAAAUACCCCCUCAAACUCGAGUAGGGUCUAGGACACACCCAAAGUUUGUCUCUGAGUCGCUCAAAUAAAGCUGCUGUCAGUGGCUUUAUCAAAACAUCUGCAACCUGAUCUACACUUGGAAUAUGCACAAUAUGUAGUUUUCUGCUGCAACUUGUCCCGGAUGAUUUGGACAUCCAGCUGGAAGUGCUUCGUUCGAUCAUGCAGGACAGAUGUGGCUAUCAACAGCACUGUGCUCAUGUUAUCGCAGUAAUAAUAGGAGCUGUUUGCAAUUUGAUAUCCAACUCAUGUAGCAGGUUCCUUAUCCAAACAAGCUCAGCUUCAUAAGCAACUAGACUUCUGAAAUCUGCUUCACACGAAAAUCUGCUAAUGGUCCCCUGUUUCCUACAACACUAGGAGACAAGAUUAGCGCCUAAAUAGAAGCAGAAACCCGAAACUGACCUGCGAUCUUCAAGAUCGUCUGCCCAGUCAGAAUCAGAGAAACCAUAAAGCCUAUAAUCUAUGCAUUUUUCUAGAAGGAGGCCACGUUCUUUAGUGCCCUAUACACGGAUAUGUGGAUCGGAUAUGCGGAUACCUACACAAAAUCAGCAAUCUGAUCCUAUUAGUGUGUGGAUCAGAUCCGAUCCGAUAGCCUUGCGAAUCGGAUCCAUAUCCGUAAUUUUUGGAUCGGAUUCAGAUAAACAUCGCGGAUAUGCGGAUUGAAUCCGAUCCAUGAACACCCCUAAUAGAAUGGAAAUCUUUUUUCACAAAUAAAGAAGUGUACGUAUCUGAUAAAGUGUUUUUAAACUCAAAUGAAUAUAGUGUUAUGCUAAGUUUGAUAAACACUCUCUAGGUGCCUGUUUUAGGCCAUAUAAAGCUUUAUUAAGCUUGCACACAUGAUCAGCAAAACCUUGUUCAAACCCAUACGGUUGUGUCAUGUAAAUGAUUUGAUACAAUUUUCCAUUGAGGAAUGCAUUGUUAAAGUUAAACUAAGUGUCCAAUUCCUAGAUAAAGCAACACUUAAGACCAAUCUGAUUUUAGUUGUCCUAAUCACAGGGUUAAAGACUUGUUCAAAGUCAAAACCCUCUUGUUGAUGAAAACUUUGGGCCACUAACCUAAAUUUAUACUUCUAGACAAUGCCAUCAGGGUGCCUUUUAACUACAUAUAUCCAUUUAUACCCAAUAACCUUGGCAUUUUGCGGUUUAGGAACAAUACACCAUGUAUUGGUUCGAAUGAGGACUUGAUAUUCUUCUUGCAUUGCUGUGUACCAAUGAGGUAUGAUAAGGGCUACUUUAGGUAUUUUUGGUAGCUAUUCCUUAUAGUCUAAGUCAGUGACAGUGGAAGUCAAGACUUUUGGUUUUGCAGAAUUAAUUUUGGACCUAGUUAUCAUUGGGUGUAGAUUUUCUGAUUUUGAGGAUUGAUUGGUGUUAGUGGGAAAGAUUGGUCAAUAGAGGGUAAAUGAGUGUUUGUGUCAAUAGUGGAUUAAGUGUGUGUUAGAGGAAGAGAAUGAGAAAUAUCUGGUAUAGUGGCUCUAAGAGUAUGCUGAUUAUUUUUAGUUCCUUGCACAGCAUUAGGCACAUGAGUCCCUGUAGCAGAAGUAACAAAAGAAUUACUAGAAUGAAUAGUAUGGUUAUGUAAACUAUGAUGAUCAAACAAGGUGCAUAAUCAUGUAUCACAGUAUCAGACACGGUACAUUUAGGAAUCUAUUUUGAUGCAAAUAUGGUUUGAUAAGAAAACUUAUUUUUCAUCAAAUUGUACAUGUCUUGAAAUAUAGAUCUUACCAGUAGGUGAUAGGCAUUUAUAUCCUUUAAAAUCUGAAGAGUACCAAUAAAAAUACAUUUAUGAGACCUGACUUCUAGUUUAUUUUUAUUGUAAGGUCUAAUCCAAGGAUAGCAUGCAUAACCAAAGACUCUUAGCAUAUGAUAAUUUGGUUUAUUUGAAAAAAGUUCAUAAAGGGAUUUAUUUGACUGAUUCAAUGAUGGAAGUCUAUUAACGAGGAAGGUAGCAGAGAUCACAACUUCAUCCCAAUAUGUAAGAGGUAUGGAAACUGUAGAAAGCAUAGCUAAGCUUGAUUCUAUUAUAUGUCUAUGUUUUCUCUCAGCCAAGCCACUUUGCUCAGGAGUAUAUGGGCAUGAGAAUCUGUGAUGUAUAUCUUCUUGAUGCAAAAAUUCUAUGAAACAUUUUGAGGUAUAUUCAUUCCCAUCAUCUGUUUGAAAUUCUUUAAUUUUACAGUUUGUUAGAUAUUUAAUAUAAGCUUUAUACUAAAUAAAAGCAUGAAACACCUGGGAUUUAUUCACUAAUAAGAAUGUACAGGUAUACUUACUAUAAGCAUCUAUAAAUGUAACACAAUACCUGUAGCCCAAGUGCGAAAUUAGUGGUGCAGGGCCCCACACAUCAAAGAAAAUGAGUUGUACAUGUUUUAAAGGGUAACUGCCCUAGUCGCUUAUGCCACAAAUCUAAUAAAGAACAACGCAAUAAAUACACAGAAGGAGAC
This is a long non-coding RNA of Arachis duranensis, 3125 nucleotides long. RefSeq lists it as uncharacterized. The transcript has 3 exons. The record is from RefSeq and is a predicted model, not a curated record. Lineage: Eukaryota; Viridiplantae; Streptophyta; Magnoliopsida; Fabales; Fabaceae.